UACAGAGAGUGCAAACGUUGUUCGGAAUCACUGGGCUUAAAGCGCGCGUAGGCGGCAUUGUCAGUGUGAGGUGAAAGCCCACGGCUUACCCGUGGAACUGCCUUGCAUACUGCAGUGCUAGAGUGUGGUAGGGGAGAGCGGAACUCCUGGUGGAGCGGUGAAAUGCGUAGAUAUCAGGAGGAACACCGGUGGCGAAGGCGGCUCUCUGGUCCAUAACUGACGCUGAGGUGCGAAAGCUAGGGUAGCGAAC
This 250-nucleotide ribosomal RNA is filed under the name uncultured bacterium. RNAcentral's name for it is "partial 16S ribosomal RNA". It matches the Rfam family "Bacterial small subunit ribosomal RNA", at positions 524 to 773 of the family's 1533-position model. The record is from RNAcentral.